RNAcentral lists this unclassified non-coding RNA (257 nucleotides) under Hevea brasiliensis (rubber tree). The record is from RNAcentral. Lineage: Eukaryota; Viridiplantae; Streptophyta; Magnoliopsida; Malpighiales; Euphorbiaceae.
GGUGCUAUGUUUUUUCACCUUAACAUUCUCCAAAUGAUACUCACAGCAUAGAGAAACUCUAAGCUAUUAUCAUCACAUCACUUAAAAUAUUAGGAUCUCAAGUAGUUUGGCUUGAUCAAAUGAUACAUUAAAUACUACAUUUCACAAAUACAAACAAUAAAUUGAUUGAGGCAAAGAAGUUGAAACCAAAGAGCAAAUGAAUUAAACAGGUUCCCUAGCUAUUUUCACCGGUUUCUCUUUUAAAAAUGCUACAUCGC